This 253-nucleotide ribosomal RNA is filed under the name uncultured bacterium. RNAcentral describes it as "partial 16S ribosomal RNA". It matches the Rfam family "Bacterial small subunit ribosomal RNA", at positions 524 to 776 of the family's 1533-position model. The record is from RNAcentral.
UACGUAGGGGGCAAGCGUUGUCCGGAUUUAUUGGGCGUAAAGAGCGUGUAGGCGGCCAGGUAGGUCCGUUGUGAAAACUCGAGGCUCAACCUCGAGACGCCGGUGGAAACCAUCUAGCUAGAGUCCGGAAGAGGAGAGUGGAAUUCCUGGUGUAGCGGUGAAAUGCGCAGAUAUCAGGAAGAACACCCGUGGCGAAGGCGGCUCUCUGGGACGUGACUGACGCUGAGACGCGAAAGCGUGGGGAGCGAACAGG